This 478-nucleotide ribosomal RNA is filed under the name uncultured bacterium. RNAcentral's name for it is "partial 16S ribosomal RNA". It matches the Rfam family "Bacterial small subunit ribosomal RNA", at positions 28 to 523 of the family's 1533-position model. The record is from RNAcentral.
GACGAACGCUGGCGGCGUGCUUAACACAUGCAAGUCGAACGGUAAGGCCCUUCGGGGUACACGAGUGGCGAACGGGUGAGUAACACGUGGGUGAUCUGCCCUGCACUUCGGGAUAAGCCUGGGAAACUGGGUCUAAUACCGGAUAGGACUCCGGACUGCAUGGUCUGGGGUGGAAAGCUUUUGCGGUGUGGGAUGGGCCCGCGGCCUAUCAGCUUGUUGGUGGGGUGAUGGCCUACCAAGGCGACGACGGGUAGCCGGCCUGAGAGGGUGACCGGGCACACUGGGGCUGGGAUCCGGCCCAGACUCCUACGGGAGGCAGCAGUGGGGAAUAUUGCACAAUGGGCGCAGGCCUGAUGCAGCGACGCCGCGUGAGGGAUGACGGCCUUCGGGUUGUAAACCUCUUUCAGCAUCGACGAAGCGAAAGUGACGGUAGGUGCAGAAGAAGGACCGGCCAACUACGUGCCAGCCGCCGCAGUAA